GAUGAACGCUGGCGGCGUGCCUAAUACAUGCAAGUCGAGCGAACGGACGAGAAGCUUGCUUUUCUGAUGUUAGCGGCGGACGGGUGAGUAACACGUGGAUAACCUACCUAUAAGACUGGGAUAACUUCGGGAAACCGGAGCUAAUACCGGAUAAUAUUUUGAACCGCAUGGUUCAAAAGUGAAAGACGGUCUUGCUGUCACUUAUAGAUGGAUCCGCGCUGCAUUAGCUAGUUGGUAAGGUAACGGCUUACCAAGGCAACGAUGCAUAGCCGACCUGAGAGGGUGGUCGGCCACACUGGAACUGAGACACGGUCCAGACUCCUACGGGAGGCAGCAGUAGGGAAUCUUCCGCAAUGGGCGAAAGCCUGACGGAGCCACGCCGCGUGAGUGAUGAAGGUCUUCGGAUCGUAAAACUCUGUUAUUAGGGAAGAACAUAUGUGUAAGUAACUGUGCACAUCUUGACGGUACCUAAUCAGAAAGCCACGGCUAACUACGUG
Molecule: ribosomal RNA, 497 nt
Filed under: uncultured bacterium
Lineage: Bacteria
Description: partial 16S ribosomal RNA
Rfam family: Bacterial small subunit ribosomal RNA
Source: RNAcentral